This 337-nucleotide unclassified non-coding RNA is filed under the name soil metagenome. RNAcentral describes it as "partial contains 5.8S ribosomal RNA, internal transcribed spacer 2, and large subunit ribosomal RNA". The stretch from base 1 to 120 matches the Rfam family "5.8S ribosomal RNA", at positions 35 to 154 of the family's 154-position model. The record is from RNAcentral.
GAUGAAGAACGCAGCGAAAUGCGAUAAGUAGUGUGAAUUGCAGAAUUCAGUGAAUCAUCGAAUCUUUGAACGCACAUUGCGCCCCUUGGUAUUCCAUGGGGCAUGCCUGUUCGAGCGUCAUUUGUACCUUCAAGCUCUGCUUGGUGUUGGGUGCUUGUCUCGCCUCUGCGUGUAGACUCGCCUCAAAACAAUUGGCAGCCGGCGUAUUGAUUUCGGAGCGCAGUACAUCUCGCGCUUUGCACUCAUAACGACGACGUCCAAAAGUACAUUUUUACACUCUUGACCUCGGAUCAGGUAGGGAUACCCGCUGAACUUAAGCAUAUCAAUAAGCGGAGGA